This 175-nucleotide unclassified non-coding RNA is filed under the name uncultured Staphylotrichum. RNAcentral's name for it is "sequence contains ITS1". Lineage: Eukaryota; Fungi; Ascomycota. The record is from RNAcentral.
CAGAGUCGAAAUACUCCGUAAACCAUUGUGAACGUUACCUUAACCGUUGCUUCGGCGGGCGGCGCCCGGCCCUCGUGGCCCGCGGCGCCCCCCGGCCCCCUGCGGGCGCCCGCCGGAGGUAUACCUAACUCUUGAAUUACAUGGCCUCUCUGAGUCUUCUGUACUGAAUAAGUCA